Molecule: non-coding RNA, 5517 nt
Organism: Triticum urartu
Lineage: Eukaryota; Viridiplantae; Streptophyta; Magnoliopsida; Poales; Poaceae
Source: RefSeq, a predicted model, not a curated record
GGACGGCUGGGUGUGCCUUUCCCAUGUCCCCGAGGGAUUUGCCAGUCCCCUCUGCCCGCGCCCCACGCUCGACCUCGAGAACAAGCAAAAAGGUCAAACCCUAGCCGCCAAACCUUCUCGUCCCGAGCCCCGCGCCCCCUUCGCCUCGUCUCCUCCCCGCUCCAUCCUCUCCCAUGCCGCCGCACCCUCUCCUCACACGCCUCAGCGCCCUCCCCUCCUCCCCGUGCCGCCGGCCCCCUUCCUUCUCCCCGCGCUAGAGCAGAGAUGCGCCUCAGUAGGGCAGCAGUAGCGUCUCCAUGGGUGCGGCGGCGUGACGGCUCCCAGGCACGGAUCCCCUCCUCCGCCUCCAUCCUCCACCUCUCCGGUCGCCCAGUUGCAACUUCCGUAGCAGCAGCAGGCGACCUGCAGCAGCUCCUUCCUACCUUCCAUGGACGAGCUCGACGGAGACACCGUCCAGCCCGACCACGGCCACGACUACCCCACGCACAAGAGGAAGGUUGAUUCAUUUGUCAAAUUCAUUCCACCGAAGCCAUCUGCUCCGUCCACCAACCCGCCCAGAAAGGUAGUUACAGUGAAUUGAUGUUCGCACUGAGGCCGGAGGCGAGAGGCGAGGGCACGGAGGUCGGUGGCAAGUGCUCAGGAGAGAAGAGGAAGGCGGCAGCGCUGGGCGGUGGCUGCGGUUUACACGAGAGCGAGGUGACCCGCCCAGAAAGGUAGUUACAGUGAAUUGAUGUUCAUAUGAACUUCAAUGCUGUGAACUUUUUAUUAGAUCUGAGUUGCAAUCCUCAAUUUUUUUAGGUUUGAGUAGCAAUGCUCCUGCUCUACUAGCUAUGACAUUUUCCAUGCUUUUUCUUCUAAUAUCCUAUAGCGUCCAUGCUUGUGGGUUCAACUUGACGAGCUUUUUUCACCUUCCAUCCCGUUUUAAGCUCUGUUGAUGGAUGAUUUCUGCCAUGUUUAUGGAGGGGGAGGACGCCAACUACUAGGAGAAGGAUCAGUUUAGCAAGUACAUGAUGUAAUUCUCUUAUGAUUAUGGGUAGAUGCCUCCUUUAUUUAGUUACCAGAGUUGUUCACUAUUGAAUAUGCAAAUUCAGCAUCCUUCAUAUAAUGGGAUCUUAUGAACUCUUUUUGAAGAUUGCUGAGAAGCGCAACCUUUUGAUCUUCGAGAACCGCAAGUUUGCUGACAUUGAAAACACAUUCAUUAUGCAAGACGAAUGGUGAGAAAUGUGUUAUUCCCUAUCCUUCCAUUCUAUUUGCAUAUUCGCGCAGUAUGCUUAGUUUUUUCCCAAGAUGAAUAUUCUACACAUGAGAGCAAUAUACUUGGUAUUAUUGAUGCUCAUAUAAUUCCUGGACCUGGAAUUGUUGAUGGCUUGAGGCUUAAAGUAUGUUAUGUGUUGCAUACCUAAUAAAUAUUAGCAAGCUAAUGUUGCAGCUUGACAGAUGCUGUGUUAACUUCUCCUUUUUCUGUUUUUCAAUAUCCACUUCGAACUGAGCAGCCAUGAUCCGGAUUUCCUCUAUGUAGCUAUGAGAUGCCUGCAGUUUGUUAUUGUGUAUCGUGUACUAAAACAUUGAUUAUUUGACAAUGAACACAUGGAAAUGCCUUAACUAUUCAACUUGCCUAGCUCAGUAUUUUAACCAAUAGAGAAGUUUUUUUUGUUGCUUUCCCUUUUGUUAGAUAUUUUGCUUUUUGUAUGUUGAGGGGAGAUGGAUAUGGCCUCGGGACUAAACGCACAGACCACAUGAAGUGAUCUGAUGGUAGGUAAAGUAUUUUUUAUUGGCAAUGCUAAUGUCUGGACCAGCUCAAUGGUUUUAACUCUAUGAUGUUCAGUUUAGCAUAUCACAUAUACAAAUUCAUAUAUACAAAUUGUGGUAGGCAACUCAUUAUUUAGACGACGCGACUAUUCCCUUGAUAAGGAGAGUCCCACCAUACUCAUGUGAGAGUUAGGCGUGGUAGUGGGUAGUGUUUUCUCAUCAUCCAUUAUGUGUUUCUUCUGUCUAGCUCGAAGUUGCUUAGUUAGAUAAUGAUUCGCAAAUUCCAGCAUUGCAUGUUGCCUGACACCUUUGCAUUAGCAUUGAAUUGCAGCCUGCAUUUUUGCAGCCCGCGAGGCGUGUAAAUGUUGGACUAUUGUUUCUCCGCUGAUGCACAUGUUUCGCCACACAGACAGUACUCUGUGUGUGUGUGAUCUCUGGAAUUAGUUUUUAUGUUUCUCUGUGUUUGAGUACUUUUGUAAUCUCCACGGGUGUGUUUCGUAUUUUCUAUGUAUCCUCUGUCAUUCGUUUAAGUGUUUGAUGUUUUCUUUUGUAGUUUUUGAUAUUUAGGUGCAGUCACGUUUCAUUUGUCGCAGACCUGCGCCCGUUAGGAAAAUCAUAGUUUCAUUUCGAUCAUGUUUCUUUAAGUUGUUCAGUGUUUGUUCAUUAUGUAGUAGAGCAAGCAGUACAUUUUGUCCAUCAGUUAAGUCACUCAUGUCACAUUCAGUUGAUUGAUUAGGUUUAGUUUUUGUUCCUUUCUCUUUGUUCCUUCAGUUUUUUGUUCCUUUAUUUAGUCAUUGUGCUUGCAUCAUUUGCCAGUAUUUUAGUCCAUCUCAAUAGACCCUAUGAUUCUUGAUAGUUUCUCUCUUUCGUAGAUCAGACUUUUCCACUUUGUUAGUUAGGCUAAUUUAUGAUUUUUUCAGUUUUUAGUCUUUACAUGAUUUAGUUGGACAGUGUGUUUGGUAUUUCAAUAGUUCAGUAGUUUCAUACUUUCAUUUAAUUAAAUAGUCUUGUUUUUAGUCUCAGUACUUCAGGUUUAGUUUCCAAACAAGUACUUUUUGACUCAUGUGGUUUUCGGUCUUUUGACUAUAUGUGGUUCUCAAUCUUUUCAUCUCUCGGUUUACUUGUCAUUCUUAAUUUAUCCGCCUUACUAUUCUCAGUCUUGUCAUUUUUAUAGAGGGUGACAAACUUUUCAUAAUUAUCAGUUGUAAUUUUCUAGUGUCUGCUCUCUCUUUCUUCAAUAUGCACUUCUAUCUUUUUCCUGUUUUCAUUCGUUCUUUCUUUAUCUUCAGUCCCUCAGUCUAUCUUGGAGGUAGGAGAUCGUUGUAUAAGUCUUGUCACUAUUUUCUAUUUUAUCCUAAUUACUUCACCCAUUGUUUGUAUCUCUAUUCCCUGUGACGCGAGGAGAUUUUUUGGGAGCUGCUUUAUUUAUUCCAUUACUUUUGUUCUCGAUUUUUCUGGAGUCCUUUGCUUCACUCUUUUGCCCCUGAUGGAAACAAGUAUACCUUUUUUCAGUUGCUUCAUUUUUAUGUUGCCUUGUGAUUUUUUCUUUGAGUCUUCUUGAUCAUUCACAUUUGAUGUCUAGAUAAUUAACCUCUACUCCUAUAACCUUUCCAGUCCUUGUUUAGUCAUUAUUUCCCCCUCUUUUUUCUGUAUGUAUAUUCAUAAUGUUCAUGCUUAGCUUCAGAAGUGAAUACUAAGUUCUCCAUUCACUAGAUUUUAUUGUUUCAUGAACAAGGUCUGGUUUUAACCUUAGGUUCAGUUACAUGCAUUCUGUUGCACACACUGUUUUUCGAUCUAUGUCGCUCUAUAGGAUGCAUUUAUUUUCCUCAGUUGUUUUCUUUUUGUUCUUGUGCUGUUUUUCGUAACUGGGACCAUAACACUCACACUUUUUUUGCAUGUAGUCUAUGUUCAUCUAGAAAAACCAAAGGAAGUAGCUUUUCAUUUGGAUAUCCCAAGCAUGGACUGACGAGAUUAUGGUUUGGCAAGCAGAGGUCCACUAGGACUGAGUGACGAACAAGCACAUGAAUGGCUGCAUCUUGUUCAAGCAUGGAUGGAAGAAAUUUCUCCUGAAAACAGGACUUGAGGUUUGGUAUGGAUGUACUUACAUUCAAGAUGACCUGUAACAACAUGAAAGUUGGCCUCCAUGACCUCUGAGAGGUUCAUAGGUCCUAAUUGAGGUUGUCUUCCGUUGAUUAUUUUUAUCGCUGCUAUGUUAGCUCUUUUGUGAGGGUCCAAUUUGGUGACCGCCUUAGAAAGAACAAGUUUCAACUAUUGCUAAAGCUAUUAAAUCAAAAGAUUAUUCUUACGUCAGGAGGUUUGCAUCCAAUCUCCUGAAGUUAAUUUGUUAAUAUAUGUGAUCAUGUACCAUGUGGUCCAUAGCAUAUAACACCUUUGUAGUUGACAUAUGUGGCCAAGGAUCUGUACUGAAACAUAUAGAGAAAUCAUCAGAGAUAAUACUAUGAAUGAGAAUGGACUUGGAAAUUGUGAUAAACCUUUCUUUAGGUGCACUUUCAUUCAGAAGGUGAUCCAGGUCUAUUGGAGCAGUACACGCCAAGUCGGUAACUGUAAUACAAGGCUUUAUGAAUCUAUCAAUUGAAGUGCAGAUCAACCAAAAUGUCAUAUACAAUGGUUGAAAGCUGAAGACUAAAGACCAUGGAGAAGAUUACACCAUCUUUUAUUCCAAGGAAAGAAACAACAUGGUCACUUGACUUUACAGACAACCUACUACUAUUAACUUCUGUUUAAUUGAUCGACAUCGCAUCUUUGUUAUUAGAUAUAUACUUAGGAACAUGCCUGUGAGUAUAUACUUAGUCUAUGUAUGCGAGACAUUUUUGUUUUGUUUUUCCCCUUAGUUCUAUCCAGAAAUGACUAUUUGUGUCUUUCUAUUUAUUCUGCACGAGCCCUUUUUUUGGAAUUCCUAUGUAUUUCUGACCUAUGUGGAUUUUACUGAUAAUAGAAGAGUUCAAGGGUUACUAACCUUAAAAUUGUCUAUAUAUUAUAAAUGACUAACUGAUAAUAGCAGAGUUCAAGGGUUUGUUAUGUUCUGCAAUUAGCAUUCAUUAGGAAACAAACGGCAACCCUCCAAACUUUUCAGCAACUUAUUCCUAUGUUUGGUGUCCUUUGAUAAUUGAUAGUAUGUUUCUCUUCGGAUAUAUACCUGAGUACUACACUUUUAACUUAUAUGUCCAUGGUCGUGCCUGAAGAUUGUUGUCAUGUUUUUGUGUGUUGUGCUGUCGCCAACUGUUAUCUGAAGCACCCCACUUAAAUGGGUAGGAUUACAGGGAACAUGCCUACUAUGGAUAUGGAGCUCAUUACAUGGCGGAUCAGUGCAAGUUACAUGCUUCAUGGGAAAGAUAGGAAGAAAUUUCUGCUUUGGUGUGAUGGUGGUCUAUGCAAACUGGAGAGAGGAAUGCGUUGAUUUUUGACAACCAGAAUACGUUGAUUCUGAGGUUAUGAGUUAGCUGAAAGCUAAUGGCUACUGGUUAGGAAUCAUUUAGGUCCUGGCCGUCUUUUGGACCUGCUUUAGUUGUACUCCCUCCGUUUUAAAAUAGAUGACUCAACUUUGUACUAACUUUAGUACAAAAUUAGUACAAAGUUGGAUCAUCUAUUUUGGAACGAAGGGAGUACUUGGCAGUUUCCCUGCGUUUUUCUAGACUACUUGUCGUUGAGUGCUGACCACCCUCUGUUGUUUCUGUCAUGCAACUCUCCUACAUGGUUAAAAAACUAAUUUAGACAUUUUGUUUCUUUAACCGUUACUCAUUUCUCUUA